GAUGAACGCUAGCUACAGGCUUAACACAUGCAAGUCGAGGGGCAGCGGGAUUGAAGCUUGCUUCAAUUGCCGGCGACCGGCGCACGGGUGAGUAACGCGUAUCCAACCUUCCGUACACUCAGGGAUAGCCUUUCGAAAGAAAGAUUAAUACCUGAUGGUAUCUUAAGCACACAUGUAAUUAAGAUUAAAGAUUUAUCGGUGUACGAUGGGGAUGCGUUCCAUUAGGUAGUAGGCGGGGUAACGGCCCACCUAGCCAACGAUGGAUAGGGGUUCUGAGAGGAAGGUCCCCCCACAUUGGAACUGAGACACGGUCCAAACUCCUACGGGAGGCAGCAGUGAGGAAUAUUGGUCAAUGGACGAGAGUCUGAACCAGCCAAGUAGCGUGAAGGAUGAAGGUCCUACGGAUUGUAAACUUCUUUAUAAGGGAAUAAACCCUCCACGUGUGGGAGCUUGUAUGUACCUUAUGAAUAAGCAUCGGCUAACUCCGUG
This 489-nucleotide ribosomal RNA is filed under the name uncultured bacterium. RNAcentral's name for it is "bacterial SSU rRNA". It matches the Rfam family "Bacterial small subunit ribosomal RNA", at positions 28 to 507 of the family's 1533-position model. The record is from RNAcentral.